This 88-nucleotide transfer RNA is filed under the name Erysipelothrix sp. Its description in RNAcentral is "tRNA-Ser". It matches the Rfam family "tRNA". From Rfam's summary of the family: Transfer RNA (tRNA) molecules are approximately 80 nucleotides in length. Their secondary structure includes four short double-helical elements and three loops (D, anti-codon, and T loops). The record is from RNAcentral. Lineage: Bacteria; Bacillati; Bacillota; Erysipelotrichia; Erysipelotrichales; Erysipelotrichaceae.
GGACAGUUGGCCGAGCGGCUUAAGGCACCAUCUUGGAAAGGUGGCGAAGUGAAAGCUUCCGUGAGUUCAAAUCUCACACUGUCCGCCA